Molecule: RNA transcript, 1956 nt
Organism: Rosa rugosa (rugosa rose)
Lineage: Eukaryota; Viridiplantae; Streptophyta; Magnoliopsida; Rosales; Rosaceae
Gene name: flavin-containing monooxygenase FMO GS-OX-like 4
Exons: 8
Source: RefSeq, a predicted model, not a curated record
UCGAAUAGGAGCAAAAGUGAAAUAGAAUUACAAGUUUACAACCACCAUAGCAAGAAUAGUAGAAUCACUAGAAUGUGAAUGUGAACUUUAAAAAAAGGCAUAUUUUGGCCGGUCAACUCUUUGGCAAAUAUGGUUGUCAGUUGACCAAAAUAAAAUGGCGUCUACUCUGUCUGCUAUCUCUGCUCAUCCGACAAUGCAACCCCUAUCCCGCCACGUAGCAGUGAUCGGCGCCGGCGCCGCCGGCCUGGUCGCAGCACGUGAGCUCCGGCGGGAAGGUCACACUGUCGUCGUCUUCGAGCGAGGAGACCAAAUCGGUGGCACGUGGGUAUACACUCCAGAAGUGGAGUCCGACCCAAUUGGUCUCCACCCAAACAGAACUGUAGUCCACUCGAGCAUGUACCAGUCUCUCAGGACCAACCUCCCGAGAGAGAUCAUGGGCUUCCGAGACUACCCAUUUGCGGCCAAGGAACAGGAUGGAGAUGGAGACCCGAGAAGGUUUCCGGGUCAUAGAGAAGUGUUGAAGUACUUGAAUGGUUUUGCUAAGGACUUUGGGAUCUGUGAGAUUGUGAGGUUUGAGAGUGAGGUGGUGUUUGUGGGUUUGGUGGAGGGUGGAAAGUGGAAGGUGAAGUCCAAGAGGAAGAGAGGUGAGGAUUUGGAGGAGGUUUAUGAUGCUGUGGUUGUCUGUAAUGGUCAUUUUACUGAGCCUCGUGUGGCCCAGAUUCCAGGCAUCAGCUCAUGGAAAGGAAAGCAAGUUCACAGCCACAAUUAUCGGACUCCUGAGCCAUUUCGAGAUCAGGUUGUAAUUUUGAUAGGCAGCUCAGCUAGUGCUAUUGAUAUUUCUCGGGACAUAGCUGGAGUUGCCAAAGAAGUCCACAUUGCAUCUAGAUCUGUUGCCACUGAAACCAUGGAAAAGAAGCCUGGCUAUGAUAACAUGUGGCUUCAUUCUAUGAUCAAAAGUGUCCAUGAAGAUGGUAGUGUGGUUUUCCCAGAUGGGAGUGUUGUACUUGCUGACAUCAUUCUUCAUUGCACAGGGUACAAAUAUCAUUUCCCUUUUCUUGAAACCAAUGGCAUUGUAACUGUGGAUGACAACCGUGUUGGGCCACUGUAUAAACAUAUCUUUCCUCCAGCAUUGGCUCCCUCAGUUUCCUUUGUUGGGAUACCUUUUAAGGUCGUUCCUUUUGCUAUGUAUGAAUUUCAAAGUAAGUGGAUAGCAGGUAUUUUGUCGAAUCGAAUUGCACUUCCAUCUGAAGAGGAGAUGAUGGAGGAUGUCCAAAUUUUCUACUCGUUGCAGGAAGCUUCUGGUAUACCCAAACGAUUCACCCAUAUGAUAGAUGAUUACCAGUUUGAAUAUGAUGAUUGGCUUGCAUCUCACUGUGGGUGUCCAGUCUCUGAGGAAUGGAGACAGCAAAUGUGGUUGGCCACUUUUAAGAAUGCUCGUCUCCGAGGACCAUUGUACCGGGAAGAGUGGGAUGAUCACCAUUUAAUAUUGCAAGCUCAGGAGGACUUCAGGAAAUACACCUUCAAUGGAGUUGGUAUGAUAACUGAUGACAAGUGACAGACUGCCCAGAUCAUUGAGAAAUGAAGCAACUUUCUCAUUUCUUUAGGCUUUUGGCCCAGAGACUAAUCCGUGCCAGGGGAUCAUGUCAGAACGCUUCCUCCCCAUUGGCCACUAAGAAUAUAUUGGGAUUUAACUCCAAUAAGCGUCGGUGGGAUUCGAACCCGGGUGUAGGGGUUCCACACCUGGAGGCUCUUACCAACUCGACCACCUGUGGUGGUUGGCUUUUGGUAAUCUUGAUUUGCCCCUGUACCUAAAGUUAGAAACGAGUUUCCCUCCAAAAAUGGUUUGGGUUCAAUUCACAAAUCUUGUGUUAUAUAGAGCUUUUACUUAUAGUGAGCAAAGAAAUCUUGUUGCGUAUAAUUCAAUAAGAUGUUCCCUCAGUGCCAUGCUUGAAUCAA